CUGCCCCGCCAUUGGACCCGCGGGGCGGGGACGGGGGAAGUGGGCGUUGCCGCGGCGCCGCGCCGUGAGGAGGGAGGGUAAUUUGUAGCCUUUAAACCUUUUGCAUGCUAUAAGGCAGAACAAGAAGGCACAUGGACCCCUCACCUUUUUACACAACACAGGGAGGACAAGCAGUUCUUUAAAGAUGGAAGUUAUUAUGAGGGCAAGUUUGUCAAUGGAGAAAUUACAGGGUGUGGAUUUCAAUACUAGGCGUUGACAGCAUCCUGAGUAGGAAGAAGUUUGUUGACUAAAGAUCCGUCCCAGUAAGUUGCUCCAGAAAAGAAUUUCUCCUGUUUCUGCUUAUUCCUGACCAGGGAGCACUUACUCUGGUCAGUUUGUGUUUGGAAAGCUCUGUGGACACAAAGUAUCACAAGAUAAAGAUGGUGGGAAAGAUGAAGGAGAGUUCCUCUAUGGAAUAAGAGAAGGAGUCAGGACAAUGAUGAAGGAGCCUGGACUCUUGUCAAUGCCACGGUCAUGGAAUAUUGCCUUGUUGGAACAGUAUAUAAGGGCAGUGGAGAAAUGACGUAUUCAAUGAACGGGGCGCUGGAGUUGAUUGUUCUGGUGACAUCUGUGAUGGACUGUGGAUCAAUGGCUACCCUGCUGCAUGUGGAGGUUUUGGAAGAAACCAUGGUGAAGCAGGUGUUUCUGUGCAGCCCAUAAAGAGGACCACAGCGGAACAGAUAUUCACACUGCAGCCCAUGGGGAACCUCAUGCCAGGUGGAUAUUUCCUGAAGGAACUGCAGUGAAUGGAAAGCCCACACAGGAGCACCUUCUCCUGACAGAAACGGUGGCUCGUGGAGGACCUGCACUGGAGCAGGGGAAAAAUCUGUGAAUAGUUGUUGUCUGGAGAUCUGGGCUGGCAUCAGAAACCACCAAAUCCCAUCAAGUUCUGCAACCAACUUAUUUGAGUUAAGUGGAGAAACUGAGAGGGAAACAGACAACUUCUGUCAAUUCUGGAUUUGCACGGGCUGAUUUCCCAGUCCCUAAGGGAGACAGAGCCAGACUCUGGAUCUGACACCCUAUAUGGAGCAGGAGAUGCUUCGAGCAGCCAGCAUGAUUCUUCUCAUCUCUGCUUUUAGAGACAAAUGUUGGCUAACUCUCAAAAUACCUUGGGAGUAACUUAUGCUGAUGGGUAAAUGAUGAGAUCCGUGAGGCUUUCAUGCAUCACUGCCCCCAUAGUAUGGAUAUAAUCAUGCAGUGAUGGAGAAUCAUCCAGUUUUUAUCCAGUAUUGAUGAACUGUCAGUGAAAGAGUUCCAAGAGGUUCUUUGUUUAGUAAUAACAUAUAUGUAGCUAUUGUUUAAAUAUAGAUGUUUUUCCAUAUGUCAAAUAGGUAAUGAGAUGCACACCCAUGAAAGGUUUAUUAGAUGUAAUUUGACUGGAAAGUCUCUUUAGUCGCUAUCUAGUAACAUACAUCUUAGGCUUACAAAUAAAUUUCUAGUAGUUUCAUGAUGUUGCCCAAGCUGGUAAGCUUGGUAUCGAUGUGCCUCUUUGGGUUUUUGUUUUGGUUGUUUGUUUUUUUUUCUUACUACUAGUGAUGUAUUUUUACAUUUUUUCUUUCAGUAUUAAUUAUUUUCCAAGACUUUUUAGAAAAGACAAUAAUAACCGCUUAAAGUAGCAUUAGAUACAUUACUAAAUGGGCUUAGAGUAUCAGUGUUAUCUUGGUAACUUCAGUUUGCUCCACUGAUGGAAGCAAUGCGUGCAUGUUGAAGAAUGUUCUUGAUAUUCGUGAUGUUGUUACAAGACAUCACAGUGUAAUAAAGAAAUUCUAGGCACUGAUAACAGUGACAUAAUGUUGCUAUGUCCAGAUUGUUUUAAUCCUGCUGUUUUACAUUUGCUUCAUAUCAUCACAUUUCUGCUGCAUCAGCUAAAAUAUUUUUCAUAUUUCUGUGUGGAAGAACGUUAUUGUCCUACAUGUCUUAAAUUUAGGGGAAUUUACAAGGCUGAGUAACAAGCUUUCAA
Non-coding RNA from Phalacrocorax carbo (great cormorant), 1999 nucleotides. The record is from RefSeq and is a predicted model, not a curated record. NCBI's taxonomy places the organism in Eukaryota, Metazoa, Chordata, Aves, Suliformes, Phalacrocoracidae.